RNAcentral lists this long non-coding RNA (321 nucleotides) under Homo sapiens (human). RNAcentral describes it as "HSALNT0263753". The record is from RNAcentral. Lineage: Eukaryota; Metazoa; Chordata; Mammalia; Primates; Hominidae.
UGACCAAAUUCACAGAGGGAUUAUGCCUACAAAUCCACGGAUAAGUCAGCGGUUUAGAAAAAGAACAUCUCCCCAGAGAACCAGUGCUCCAUGGGCAAGGUCCACGUCCAUUUAAGCUGGUGGCUGGAAAUGCAGAAGUGAACAAGCCAAAGCCCUGGCAUCAAGGAGGAAGCACCGUGGGAAAAAGACAUAGAAACAAAAAGGACAAACUGGAAUAAAGGCCACACUGGAAGGAUGAAAACAAGGUGGGAAUUCAGAGAACAAUGAAGGGCUCCACAGAGUCGGGAGGGCAGGACAAGCUGGGCCUGGAGGAUGAGCUGU